AUUGAACGCUGGCGGCAGGCCUAACACAUGCAAGUCGAACGGUAACAGGAAGAAGCUUGCUUCUUUGCUGACGAGUGGCGGACGGGUGAGUAAUGUCUGGGAAACUGCCUGAUGGAGGGGGAUAACUACUGGAAACGGUAGCUAAUACCGCAUAACGUCGCAAGACCAAAGAGGGGGAGCUUCGGGCCUCUUGCCAUCGGAUGUGCGCAGAUGGGAUUAGCUAGUAGGUGGGGUAACGGCUCACCUAGGCGACGAUCCCUAGCUGGUCUGAGAGGAUGACCAGCCACACUGGAACUGAGACACGGUCCAGACUCCUACGGGAGGCAGCAGUGGGGAAUAUUGGACAAUGGGCGCAAGCCUGAUGCAGCCAUGCCGCGUGUAUGAAGAAGGCCUUCGGGUUGUAAAGUCCUUUUAGCGGGGAGGAAGGGAGUAAAGUUAAUACCUUUGCUCAUUGACGUUACCCGCAGAAGAAGCACCGGCUAACUCCGUG
RNAcentral lists this ribosomal RNA (490 nucleotides) under uncultured bacterium. RNAcentral's name for it is "partial 16S ribosomal RNA". It matches the Rfam family "Bacterial small subunit ribosomal RNA", at positions 30 to 507 of the family's 1533-position model. The record is from RNAcentral.